UAUAGUAUAGUAGGUGAUGUGUUCGUGAAACAUAGUUCCUGUACUUAUAGUAUAAACAAUACUAUUGUGAGGGAAGGAUGUGAAGUCCGACUAAGGAAUAACGAUUCAUUUUUUAUUUUUUUUUUAUGACACAAUCUGUGAAAAAAUCCUGCGCAUGUCUACUGGCAUGUACGUGCGAUGGUUUUCAAUUCAUUUUUACUGAUCUGAUNUAACUC
Molecule: non-coding RNA, 215 nt
Organism: Cinara cedri
Lineage: Eukaryota; Metazoa; Arthropoda; Insecta; Hemiptera; Aphididae
Source: the annotation of a GenBank genome assembly